RNAcentral lists this ribosomal RNA (464 nucleotides) under uncultured bacterium. RNAcentral's name for it is "SSU rRNA". It matches the Rfam family "Bacterial small subunit ribosomal RNA", at positions 26 to 523 of the family's 1533-position model. The record is from RNAcentral.
AGAACGAACGCUGGCGGCAUGCCUAACACAUGCAAGUCGAACGAGACCCCUGAUUUCGGUUGGCGGGUCUAGUGGCGCACGGGUGCGUAACGCGUGGGAACCUGCCCCUUGGUUCGGAAUAACACAGAGAAAUUUGUGCUAAUACCGGAUGAUGACUUCGGUCCAAAGAUUUAUCGCCGAGGGAUGGGCCCGCGUAGGAUUAGCUUGUUGGUGGGGUAAUGGCCUACCAAGGCGACGAUCCUUAGCUGGUCUGAGAGGAUGAUCAGCCACACUGGGACUGAGACACGGCCCAGACUCCUACGGGAGGCAGCAGUGGGGAAUAUUGGACAAUGGGCGAAAGCCUGAUCCAGCAAUGCCGCGUGAGUGAUGAAGGCCUUAGGGUUGUAAAGCUCUUUUACCAGGGAUGAUAAUGACAGUACCUGGAGAAUAAGCUCCGGCUAACUCCGUGCCAGCAGCCGCGGUAA